This 816-nucleotide ribosomal RNA is filed under the name uncultured bacterium. RNAcentral's name for it is "bacterial SSU rRNA". It matches the Rfam family "Bacterial small subunit ribosomal RNA", at positions 58 to 916 of the family's 1533-position model. The record is from RNAcentral.
CAAGUCGAACGGGAAUCUUCGGAUUCUAGUGGCGGACGGGUGAGUAACGCGUAAGAAUCUAACUUCAGGACGGGGACAACAGUUGGAAACGACUGCUAAUACCCGAUAUGCCGCGAGGUGAAACCUAAUUGGCCUGAAGAAGAGCUUGAGUCUGAUUAGCUAGUUGGUGGGGUAAGAGCCUACCAAGGCGACGAUCAGUAGCUGGUCUGAGAGGAUGAGCAGCCACACUGGGACUGAGACACGGCCCAGACUCCUACGGGAGGCAGCAGUGGGGAAUUUUCCGCAAUGGGCGAAAGCCUGACGGAGCAACGCCGCGUGAGGGAGGAAGGUCUUUGGAUUGUAAACCUCUUUUCUCAAGGAAGAAGUUCUGACGGUACUUGAGGAAUCAGCCUCGGCUAACUCCGUGCCAGCAGCCGCGGUAAUACGGGGGAGGCAAGCGUUAUCCGGAAUUAUUGGGCGUAAAGCGUCCGCAGGUGGUCAGCCAAGUCUGCUGUCAAAUCAGGUUGCUUAACGACCUAAAGGCGGUGGAAACUGGCAGACUAGAGAGCAGUAGGGGUAGCAGGAAUUCCCAGUGUAGCGGUGAAAUGCGUAGAGAUUGGGAAGAACAUCGGUGGCGAAAGCGUGCUACUGGGCUGUAUCUGACACUCAGGGACGAAAGCUAGGGGAGCGAAAGGGAUUAGAUACCCCUGUAGUCCUAGCCGUAAACGAUGGAUACUAGGCGUGGCUUGUAUCGACCCGAGCCGUGCCGAAGCUAACGCGUUAAGUAUCCCGCCUGGGGAGUACGCACGCAAGUGUGAAACUCAAAGGAAUUGACGG